Dermacentor silvarum is the source of this 675-nucleotide long non-coding RNA. RefSeq lists it as uncharacterized. The transcript has 2 exons. The record is from RefSeq and is a predicted model, not a curated record. Lineage: Eukaryota; Metazoa; Arthropoda; Arachnida; Ixodida; Ixodidae.
GGGCCUGCAUUAAAGUGUUAUCAUUGGCAUUUCACAACCAUCAACCUUGUUUCUGCAACAACUCGGGCGCAUCAAAACUGCACAUAUCCUGUAUACACACAAUAAGGCGCCUACAGCUCCAGAAAGAGAAGCACCCAAUAGGUCAUGCUGGGCGACCGUCGGAUAUGCGACACUGCUUACUGCAAGAAAUGGGGUAGAUGAUGGGCCACCUGCAGUGAGGUUGUUCUUGACAGAAAGACUAAUCAUGCAACAAUUAACUGCAUGCAAACUCAAAGAACAUAGGGAACAAUAAUAAUUCCAUUACAAGCACGCUGUAAUGUUAUGUCCAGUCUAAAUGAACAGCUUACACAGGGCACUGACCUGAAUCAUUUAUUGUGCAAUGAGACAUAUGUGACUCAUUGCCUUGGUCAUUUUGUACUGCAAUGGGACUUGCAAGUGGUGUGCCUGCAUAAAAACAAAGAUGUUAAGACGCUGAAUGUCAUUAAAGGAAAUAUUCCCCUUGUAUGAAUCAGCCAUUUUACUUGUGACAGUACUGUUCACAGCACUCUGCUGUGCAUUCAACAUUGUAGUCAAGGGUCGCAGCACUCUGCUAUCGGCCUUUUGGACCACCUUUGGAGUCGCAGCCCUCUUGCAACGUCGCUGGUGCCUGAAAUAAAAUGUACCUCUCUGUAAAAA